This is a long non-coding RNA of Branchiostoma floridae (Florida lancelet), 249 nucleotides long. RefSeq lists it as uncharacterized. The record is from RefSeq and is a predicted model, not a curated record. The transcript has 3 exons. NCBI's taxonomy places the organism in Eukaryota, Metazoa, Chordata, Leptocardii, Amphioxiformes, Branchiostomatidae.
CGGAUCAAAGUGCCCGCCGCUGCCGUGCGACGUCUGGUGCCCCAACGGUCACGUGCAGGACGACAACGGUUGCGACACAUGCAUGUGUAACGCCGCAACGUGCCCUGGCGUGAUGUGCGGCCUCUGGUGUCCGGGCGGAUUGCUACAAGACGAGAACGGAUGUGACACGUGCCGCUGUAACUGGGAAGAUUUGAUUGUUGGAUGAGCUACGUCACGUGACAUGACGACCAGGAAUGAGACACCGACUUU